Molecule: ribosomal RNA, 519 nt
Filed under: uncultured bacterium
Lineage: Bacteria
Description: partial 16S ribosomal RNA
Rfam family: Bacterial small subunit ribosomal RNA
Source: RNAcentral
UGGGGAAUAUUGGACAAUGGGCGCAAGCCUGAUCCAGCAAUGCCGCGUGAGUGAUGAAGGCCUUAGGGUUGUAAAGCUCUUUCGCACGCGACGAUGAUGACGGUAGCGUGAGAAGAAGCCCCGGCUAACUUCGUGCCAGCAGCCGCGGUAAUACGAAGGGGGCUAGCGUUGUUCGGAAUUACUGGGCGUAAAGGGCGCGUAGGCGGCCUGUUUAGUCAGAAGUGAAAGCCCCGGGCUCAACCUGGGAAUAGCUUUUGAUACUGGCAGGCUUGAGUUCCGGAGAGGAUGGUGGAAUUCCCAGUGUAGAGGUGAAAUUCGUAGAUAUUGGGAAGAACACCGGUGGCGAAGGCGGCCAUCUGGACGGACACUGACGCUGAGGCGCGAAAGCGUGGGGAGCAAACAGAUUAGAUACCCUGGUAGUCCACGCCGUAAACGAUGAAUGCUAGACGUCGGGGUGCAUGCACUUCGGUGUCGCCGCUAACGCAUUAAGCAUUCCGCCUGGGGAGUACGGCCGCAAGG